CCUACGGGAGGCAGCAGUGGGGAAUAUUGGACAAUGGGCGAAAGCCUGAUCCAGCAAUGCCGCGUGAGUGAUGAAGGCCUUAGGGUUGUAAAGCUCUUUUACCCGGGAUGAUAAUGACAGUACCGGGAGAAUAAGCUCCGGCUAACUCCGUGCCAGCAGCCGCGGUAAUACGGAGGGAGCUAGCGUUAUUCGGAAUUACUGGGCGUAAAGCGCACGUAGGCGGCUUUGUAAGUAAGAGGUGAAAGCCUGGUGCUCAACACCAGAACUGCCUUUUAGACUGCAUCGCUUGAAUCCAGGAGAGGUGAGUGGAAUUCCGAGUGUAGAGGUGAAAUUCGUAGAUAUUCGGAAGAACACCAGUGGCGAAGGCGGCUCACUGGACUGGUAUUGACGCUGAGGUGCGAAAGCGUGGGGAGUAAACAGGAUUAGAUACCCUGGUAGUCCACGCCGUAAACGAUGAUAACUAGCUGUCGGGGCUCUUAGAGCUUCGGUGGCGCAGCUACGACAUAAGUUAUCCGCCGUGGGAGGUACGGCCGGCGAACGGUUAAACGUAACGUAAAGGUAAAGUUAGUUACGGACGUGAGACGUGCCGACGGCGACGACGAGGGAGGAGG
Molecule: ribosomal RNA, 611 nt
Filed under: uncultured bacterium
Lineage: Bacteria
Description: bacterial SSU rRNA
Rfam family: Bacterial small subunit ribosomal RNA (bases 1-517)
Source: RNAcentral